GACGAACCGUGCGAACGUUGUUCGGAUUCACUGGGCUUAAAGGGCGCGUAGGCGGUGCGACAAGUCGGGGGUGAAAUCUUUCGGCCCAACCGGAAAAGGGCCCCCGAUACUGGCGCGCUGGAGGGAGGUAGGGGCAUGUGGAACUCCAGGUGGAGCGGUGAAAUGCGUAGAUAUCUGGAGGAACGCCGGUGGCGAAAGCGACGUGCUGGACCUUCUCUGACGCUGAGGCGCGAAAGCCAGGGGAGCAAACGGGAUUAGAUACCCCGGUAGUCCUGGCCCUAAACGAUGGGUACUAGGUAGUGGACUUGACAUGGGUUCACUGCCGAAGCAAAAGUGUUAAGUACCCCGCCUGGGGAGUAUGGUCGCAAGGCUGAA
RNAcentral lists this ribosomal RNA (375 nucleotides) under uncultured bacterium. RNAcentral describes it as "bacterial SSU rRNA". It matches the Rfam family "Bacterial small subunit ribosomal RNA", at positions 524 to 898 of the family's 1533-position model. The record is from RNAcentral.